This 1005-nucleotide ribosomal RNA is filed under the name uncultured bacterium. RNAcentral describes it as "bacterial SSU rRNA". It matches the Rfam family "Bacterial small subunit ribosomal RNA", at positions 355 to 1375 of the family's 1533-position model. The record is from RNAcentral.
UGGGGGAUAUUGCACAAUGGGGGAAACCCUGAUGCAGCAACGCCGCGUGAAGGAAGACGGUUUUCGGAUUGUAAACUUCUGUUCUUAGUGACGAUAAUGACGGUAGCUAAGGAGAAAGCUCCGGCUAACUACGUGCCAGCAGCCGCGGUAAUACGUAGGGAGCGAGCGUUGUCCGGAAUUACUGGGUGUAAAGGGAGCGUAGGCGGGAGAUCAAGUCAGAUGUGAAAACUAUGGGCUCAACCCAUAACCUGCAUUUGAAACUGUUCUUCUUGAGUGAAGUAGAGGCAGGCGGAAUUCCGAGUGUAGCGGUGAAAUGCGUAGAUAUUCGGAGGAACACCAGUGGCGAAGGCGGCCUGCUGGGCUUUUACUGACGCUGAGGCUCGAAAGCAUGGGGAGCAAACAGGAUUAGAUACCCUGGUAGUCCAUGCCGUAAACGAUGAUUACUAGGUGUGGGGUGGCUGACCCAUUCCGUGCCGGAGUUAACACAAUAAGUAAUCCACCUGAGUAGUACGGCCGCAAGGUUGAAACUCAAAGGAAUUGACGGGGGCCCGCACAAGCAGUGGAGUAUGUGGUUUAAUUCGAAGCAACGCGAAGAACCUUACCAGGUCUUGACAUCCGACUAACGAAGUAGAGAUACAUUAGGUGCCCUUCGGGGAAAGUCGAGACAGGUGGUGCAUGGUUGUCGUCAGCUCGUGUCGUGAGAUGUUGGGUUAAGUCCCGCAACGAGCGCAACCCUUAUUCUUAGUAGCCAGCAGGGAAAGCUGGGCACUCUAAGGAGACUGCCGGGGAUAACCCGGAGGAAGGUGGGGAUGACGUCAAAUCAUCAUGCCCCUUAUGAUCUGGGCUACACACGUGCUACAAUGGCGUAACAAAGGGAAGCGAGCCUGCGAGGGUGAGCAAAUCCCAAAAAUAACGUCCCAGUUCGGACUGUAGUCUGCAACCCGACUACACGAAGCUGGAAUCGCUAGUAAUCGCGAAUCAGAAUGUCGCGGUGAAUACGUUCCC